GACGAACGCUGGCGGCGUGCCUAAUACAUGCAAGUCGAACGGACAGGUCCGGCGCUUGCUCCGCGGUCGAUUGGGGAGGGGGGGUGAGUAACGCGUGGAUAACCUCCCUGAAAGUCUGGUAUAAUCUCGGGACACGGGCGCUAACAGCGGAUAAUAUCUUGCACCAUAUUGUUCGAUAGUGAAUUUCGGUGUUUGGGGCUUUUAUAGCUGGUUCUGCGCUGGAUUAGCGGGUUGUUAAGUAAACGGGUUACCAAGGCGACGAGGCGUAGCCGACCUGAGGGGGUGAUCGGCCACCCGGGAACUGAGACACGGACCAGACUCCUACGGGAGGCAGCAGUAGGGAAUCUUCGGCAAUGGGCGAAAGUAUGACGGAGCAACGCCGCGUGAGUGAUGAAGAUCUUCGGAUCGUAAAACUCUGUUAUGAGGGAAGAACAAAUGUGUAAGUAACUGAACACUGCUUGACGGUAACGAGUCAGAAAGCCACGGCUAACUACGUG
RNAcentral lists this ribosomal RNA (497 nucleotides) under uncultured bacterium. RNAcentral's name for it is "partial 16S ribosomal RNA". It matches the Rfam family "Bacterial small subunit ribosomal RNA", at positions 28 to 507 of the family's 1533-position model. The record is from RNAcentral.